Molecule: transfer RNA, 69 nt
Filed under: Menura novaehollandiae (superb lyrebird)
Lineage: Eukaryota; Metazoa; Chordata; Aves; Passeriformes; Menuridae
Also listed under: 1 other name
Description: tRNA-Arg
Source: RNAcentral
AGGAAGCUAGUCUAACCAAGACAGUUGAUUUCGGCUCAACAGAUUAUAGUUACACCCUAUAGCUUCCUU